GACGAACGCUAGCGGCGCGCCUAACACAUGCAAGUCGAACGAGCGAGAGAGAGCUUGCUUUCUCGAGCGAGUGGCGAACGGGUGAGUAACGCGUGAGGAACCUGCCUCAAAGAGGGGGACAACAGUUGGAAACGACUGCUAAUACCGCAUAAGCCCACGACCCGGCAUCGGGUUGAGGGAAAAGGAGCAAUCCGCUUUGAGAUGGCCUCGCGUCCGAUUAGCUGGUUGGUGAGGUAACGGCCCACCAAGGCAACGAUCGGUAGCCGGACUGAGAGGUUGAACGGCCACAUUGGGACUGAGACACGGCCCAG
RNAcentral lists this ribosomal RNA (311 nucleotides) under uncultured bacterium. RNAcentral describes it as "bacterial SSU rRNA". It matches the Rfam family "Bacterial small subunit ribosomal RNA", at positions 28 to 334 of the family's 1533-position model. The record is from RNAcentral.